GCGGGGGUUGCCGAGCCAGGAAAAGGCGCGGGGCUUAAGACCCCGUCCCGAAGGGGUCCGCGGGUUCAAAUCCCGCCCCCCGCA
RNAcentral lists this transfer RNA (84 nucleotides) under Archaeoglobus profundus DSM 5631. RNAcentral describes it as "tRNA-Leu (TAA) (tRNA-Leu-TAA-1-1)". It matches the Rfam family "tRNA". Rfam says of the family: Transfer RNA (tRNA) molecules are approximately 80 nucleotides in length. Their secondary structure includes four short double-helical elements and three loops (D, anti-codon, and T loops). The record is from Rfam by way of RNAcentral. Lineage: Archaea; Methanobacteriati; Methanobacteriota; Archaeoglobi; Archaeoglobales; Archaeoglobaceae. RNAcentral also lists the same sequence under 2 other names.